AUGGCUGCGCAGGGGAGCAACGGGAAGGAGAAGCUGCAGUGCAUCGACUCAUCGUCUGACGAUUCAGCACGGCUCUACAAGAGGCCCCGGCGGGCGGCUCCAGAGACCACCCCGGAGCAGCAGAGUGCACAUGGUUUCUUCAAAAUUAGGGAUCGCAAAGGAUGGGAGCAUGGUACCGUGAUUUAUGAAAACAGACAUUGGAAGUGGAAGUACUGCCCCACGGUUGGGCGUAGCGGUGGUGUCACCAGCCUCAAGCAUCAUAUUGCCGGUGGCAGUAGCAGGGUAAGGCCGUGCCUAUCUGCUCCCAAAGAUGUCUCCAAUGAGAUGAAACGCUUGUUUGUUGGGCAGUAG
Molecule: ribosomal RNA, 351 nt
Filed under: Triticum aestivum (bread wheat)
Lineage: Eukaryota; Viridiplantae; Streptophyta; Magnoliopsida; Poales; Poaceae
Description: partial small subunit ribosomal RNA
Source: RNAcentral